GGAGAUUAAAUCCAACCUAGAGAGCGGGCCAGCAGUCUGCUAGAAUGUCAAUGGUCUUGAGCCCGCAGGUUGCUGGUUCAGGUGAAGUUAAUGAUAUUUGGCGGGUUCUGAGGGAAGCUGGACUCACAGGAAGAUUUUGGACCACUUCCAUUUAACAUGAAGAGGUAUAAUGAGGCUGAGAUCCAAAUCUAUAAUUGAACUUCUUAUGUUUCAUCUCUACCUUACAGCUUAACUUGAAGGUAUCUUUGAGUAUCUGUGGAGUCCCAAUGAGAAAUCCCAUAGCAAAGACUGUGGGAUCUUACUUCUGACCCCAGAAGAUCUUGUUAAGUCUACAGACUUCAACAGAAUUGGAGAAUCUGAACAGAGCAGAGUUACCAACAAGAGAGCCCAGGGAUAGCAUUAACAUGGUGGCCACCCAAGACCCUCCUCAGCCAGUGAGACAUGACAAGGCCUGUGAGGUCCCCAUUGAAGACCCCACUGGCCGGGGCACCUGGCACCCAAUGGUGAGGCUGAAGCUGUGAAGGGCUCAGCUAAUGUUGCACCCAGGCAAGCCGACUGACAUUGGACCAACGCGUCAUAUGGUUGUGAGUGAAGGUCUGGAGAAGAGAUUGCCGUGGGACCACCCACAAGACAGAUCCAUGACAUUGGACUGCCAUGGCCUAUUUGGUCGUGAGUGAAGCUCUGGAGAGGAGAUCACCGUGGGACCACCCGCCCCACGAGACAGAUCUGAGGAGAGACAUUUGGUGUCAAUGCAAGGUGAGUGAGUCACCAUGGGACAAGCAUUUAGUAAACAGAACCUGUUUAUUUCAGGUUUUAAAGAUUUAUUUAUUUAUUAUGUACACAGAAGAGGGCACCAGAUCUCAUUACAGAUGUUGUGAGCCACCAUGUGGGUGCUGGGAAUUGAACUCAGGACCUCUGGAAGAGCAGUCAGUGCUCUUAACCUCUGAGCCAUCUCUCCAGCCCCUUAUUUCAGGUUUGAAAGAAUCUCUCAAGACGCAAGGAACUAGAGUAAAGAAAAAAGAUCUUAAAAAAAUAUUUUUUGACUAUAUUGGGGACAUUUGUCCUUGGUUUCCUCAAGAGGGAACUACAGAUGAAAAAAGAUGGAAACUAAUAGGAAAUUGUUUAAGAGAUUAUUAUCGCCGGGCGGUGGUGGCGCACGCCUUUAAUCCCAGCACUCGGGAGGCAGAGCCAGGUGGAUCUCUGUGAGUUCGAGGCCAGCCUGGGCUACCAAGUGAGUCCCAGGAAAGGAGCAAAGCUACACAGAGAAACCCUGUCUUGAAAAACAAAACAAAACAAAACAAAACAAAACAAAAAAAAAAAGAGAUUAUUAUCAAACUUUUGGCCCUGAGAAGGUGCUUGUUUAGGCCUUUUCUUAUUGGAACUUGAUAAAUGAUAUCCUAAAGGUUUAUUUAAAAAAAGUAAGGAAAGAUAUAGGAGACCCAUAAAAGCAGCCAGCCUUAUAAAAAUGAUUUACUGUCAGACUGUGUUAAGUGGCAGAGAUUCUAACCCCUCCCUUCAGGGAGAAACCUGCCGUUACUUCAUUCAGGGUCUUUAAAGGAGGUAACACAAUAUUAUCAUACUACAAGACCUCCUGAGAGUGUAAACUAGAACUAAUGAGAACUAAGACCUCCUGAGAGUGUAAACUAGAACUAUGGAGAACACUAUGUUCUCCAUAGUAGUAGCAGCGUCCUGCUACAAAGUCUUUUGCUAAAACUAUUGGAAUCUAAGGGCUAACUUGAGCCCUAAAUUUGCCCUGCAGCUAACUAGGAGCUCUGCUCCAGCAGCCUUCAUUUAAAUUAAUGCAAGCCUUAUAGCCAGUACCGAUUUAAAAACUAAUGGCAACUCCCAGCUCUCCUAAAAAGGUGUCCUUUUCUCUCUUUUUGGGUUGACUUUUAACUUCUUGAUAAUUUACAAAAAUCUUGGCCAAGUACAAGAACUUCAGUUAACUCAUUAAAAAAAAAAAACAGGUCCUGGUUAGGGAACGCCCUACUACGACCUGUAUGGAUUCAUCAGACACCGAAGAUGUUUGGGGGCUGGAAUCCUAAACAUCUGCCUUCUUCUCUCUGAACCUAACUAUCUGCUAUCUGCAUCUCAGCUCACUUCCACCCUUCUCCUCACCUUUGCCAUUCCCGGUGGCUACCUGGCUUGAUAUAGAUUGGACAAACCGGCUGCAGCUGCUACAAAAAAAAAAAAAAAUCCUCCUCUGUUUUAAUAUAAAACCUAAGUUCUAAGUUUACAGAGCCAACUAACUUAUAAAUUGUUAAAUAAGUUUACUUUAGUUAAAGAUAAUUAAAAAAUAAAAUUUAUUGAUUGAUUGGCCACCCUAAACUGUAAACUGUUAAGGAUAAGUUGUACUUAAGCUAUAGGCUAUUAGAGAUAAUCAUUAGGAUACAAAUUAAAGCUUGAUCAUUUUAUGAUCAAGUUCUCUAAUGUAUACAAAAUCAUAUUUAUAUAUAUGCUAAGUAUGCUGAAUUUCAUAUAAUCAAUUCAUUAUUUAGCCCCCUAGCAUUUAAAAUGUUUAAGCUUUGGACAAAACUGCCAUACCCCUUAUUUCCAGGGUUUUGUCCAAACUAUGCUUUGACAUCAUUUAGAUUAUAUCCCUAUUUACAAGGCCUAAAAGAUAAUUUGCCUUGCUAUCCAAAUUCAUAGAAAAGAUAGCUCGCCAAACAGAUUUCAAAAUAAUCUUUGACUGUUCCUUUGUUUAAAGGAAUUCACCACAUUGGCUGCUCUCAGUAAUUAAUCACCUAUAUCUCCUGAUGAAUUAAAUACAAAAAUGCUUUUAGAUAUAAAGUUUUUAUAGGAUAUGAAGGAUUAGAUAUAAAAAAUGUUUAAGAAUGUUAAAAAUAAUUUAUUACAUAUGUAAUGCAAGUCAUUGGAAUAAAGAAAUAUAAUCUAUAAACAUCUAGAUAUGUUAUAAAUGCUAAACAAAUCUCAAUAAAUAACCUAAAGAUAUUAAAGAUGUAUGCCUAAGUUAGAUCUAUGAAUAAAGUUUUUAUUGAGGUCUGAGAUAGAUGUAUAGGCUUUAAAAAUAAAGUUAUGUAUACCUUAAUACAAGAGUCUUUGGACCUCCCCAGAAGGGACAUUGGGGCUAAUUAUAGGGUGUAGCUCCUUGGCUGUAUGUACAAGGUUGCCCCAGGGAUGUGCGAUUCUGACUUUACUGGAGAGAUUAAGAUCAUUGUACAAUUCAGAUUCAUACAGGGCAGUGCCUAAGGGAGCUGCUGGUGUGGAUUCUAGUGAUAUGGCCUUCUGGAUUCAGGAAAUUAAAUAUUCCAAACAACUAAACACUUAAAAUACAGGGAAAGAAGAUAAUUGGCUUGCUAGACAUAAACAUAGAUGUUUCUUAUAUUUCAGAAAAAGAUUGGCCAAGUACUUAAGAUGACUAUUACUUCUUCGUCUCUUACAGGCCUAGGUCAAGCUAAUAAUGUAUUCAAAAGGUCAGGAAAAUCGAAUGCUCCUAUCUAGAUCAAACAAUGGCUUUUAAAUACUGAGAGAAUUGUAACUGUAACCUGUCUGGUGGAAGAGAAACUUAAAAAUAGGGCAUAUAAAGCCUCCCACCAGCCCUUAAAUCACCCCAAUAUCUUUUUAUUUAGGAAAAUCAGGCUUAUACACUGUUAAAACAUUUUAAGAAAUUAAAUAAAAUUUAUUAAAGCCAAGGAGAAUCUCACAGCCUGGCUUGCCAUCUCUCAUGUCAUCCCUAGAAAUCAAGAUAACAAUUGUUGUAAAUUUUACAAGAUUGCUUCUUUGCCAUACCUUUUCACCCUAAAGGUUGUCAGCAUUUCACUUUUAGCUUGCCUACUCACCCUGCCAUGAUGGAGGCCAAAGCUGACAUACAGAGCAGGAAAUGCAAGUUCUGUUUAUCCAGGACUCAUUCAUUGAACAGAGUUUCUCCUUUUAUAUAUACAGAUUAACUAUCAGAACUAACUGUCAAUUAUAGAUUCCUCACAGCCCCCCAACCUAUAUGUAUAUAUAUAUAUAUAUAUAUAUAUAUAUAUGUAUAUGUAUAUACAUAUACCUUACAAUACAUUUAUUGUACAGAUGAUAUUAUAUUUAUAUCAAACUAUGAAACUUAUGAGUCUAUAGAAUGGCAAAUAGCUCUACAGGAUAUACUGGCACCUUUUCAUAUGUCUGGCCAACAAUUAUAAAUUCUGUCCCUAUGGAAGCUUACCCACGAGGCUUACAUCCUUAUGAUUUAUGGUUAUGAAAUAAAAAGUAAUACACCAUAUCUUUCACUGCUUUUUAAUUUUAUGAAUGCCUUGAGCUCAUAUAUAGACAACAGCCUUACAUAUACUUUAAGAGCUCUUAAAAAUUGGUGCUUAAUUUUUCAGAUCCCCCACUACAGGCAUUCCUUAUUACCCCCAGGCCAAGCCACAAAGUCACACCUAAGCCUCUGUGAUCUUCUCACUGGUAUUUGAAAAGGUCCUGAUGUUUUCAUAAUGUCAGGAGGAGGAUACAUGUCUUUAUAGGACUGUUAUUUACCUCUAGAUUCUUGAAUAUGAAUAAAUUGAUACAAUUCCAGACCCUCUUGAAGAACUGUUCAUCAAUGAUAUCAAAACUUAUAGAAAUAUGAUUAGAACUAAUAAUUCUGUUCUAAAUGUAUUUUAUUAAUUUUGUCAAAAGACUUGAGAGAUAUAUAAAUGACACAUUUUAGAUUUUAUUCUCUGGCUAUCCUGAUGUUUUGUUGAGGCUCCAAGGAUUCAUAAUUUUGCUCUGAUAAAGUUUACCACUGUUAUAUUGCUAACGUGUCUAAGAUUUUGUCUAUUAAAAAGGUUCUUAUAAGCUUCAGGAGAUCACGUCGGUGGUGGUGGUGCGUGAUCAAAAUUUGCCAACGCCCACAAGCCAAGAAGGACUAGGAGGAAUACAACCUGACUACAGUUUAUAUCUCCCACUUACAAAUUUUCUUUUUCUUCUUUGGGGGUGGGGUCAGACUGCCCACAAUUGCAAAAUUUAUUAGAGGGAGGAAAGCGUAGGAUGCCCCUAUUCUUACUGCAAAAUUCAUGAUGCCAUUCCUCCUGCUAAGGGACAGGUAAUUGGUUUUCUUGCCCCUUGUGGCCUGAGUUUCCCUGACCACCUCCCUGGUCCCUGCAGGCCUGGUGGGAAAAGCCCUGGGUCACUCCCUCAUAACAAUGGCUCACCUAUCCCAACAAUUUCAGGUAGGAAUUGAGGCUUCUGAAGCAUCCUUGUCCUCCCUUCAGAGGCAGUUAACUUCCCUUGCACAGGUUGCCCUACAAAACCGAUGGGCCUUGGACCUGUUGACAGCAGAAAAGGGUGGGACAUGCCUUUUUCUGAGGGGAGAAUGUUGUUAUUAUAUUAAUGAGUCUGGAAUGGUAGAAACCCAGAUAAAUAAGCUACAUAAACUUAGCCUAGAGCUACACAAGCAGUGAUUCUCUGCUGUGGCAGAUGACUGGUGGAGAUCAUCCAUAUUCUCCCUUUUGAUUCCUCUUGUAGGACCAUUAGUCAGUAUCUUGUUAUUUGUAACAUUGGGUCCUUGUAGAUGUAACCAACUGUCUUAUUAAAAUAAAAAAACACAGAACCAAUGUAAAAGAGAAAGCCGAGAGGUCAGAGCUCAGAGCUAAAAUCUUACCUCCUGCAGUGCU
Molecule: long non-coding RNA, 5594 nt
Organism: Peromyscus maniculatus bairdii (prairie deer mouse)
Lineage: Eukaryota; Metazoa; Chordata; Mammalia; Rodentia; Cricetidae
Source: RefSeq, a predicted model, not a curated record